Long non-coding RNA from Zootoca vivipara (common lizard), 639 nucleotides. RefSeq lists it as uncharacterized. The record is from RefSeq and is a predicted model, not a curated record. Lineage: Eukaryota; Metazoa; Chordata; Lepidosauria; Squamata; Lacertidae.
GCGAGGGGCUUUCGUCGGCAUCCGGCGAGGAAGCCCUCCCAGUGCCGGCUAGAGCGUCGAGUGGCGGAAAACGUCGUCACAAAAGUCGUUCCAGGAGGCGGGCAAAGAGGCGCAAGGACGAUACCUCGGCUUCGACCACCUCAGGGCUCGCGGACGUGCACAUAUGGAUGGUGGGACAUUCCAUAGUCCAUUGGGCAGGCCUUCGCGCUGGCCAAACGCCAUUGGGUCCUCGACUUGGCCUUCCAUCCAACAUCCAAGUGACCUGGAUGGGCAAGAGGGGCAUGCGCUGGGGGGAGCUUCUCCCUUUGCUGCGGCGCAAAGCCCUCUUGCUCGGGUGCCCGUCCGCCCUGGUGAUCCAGCUGGGAGAAAAUGACAUCCCCGCUGUGGACCCGUUAUCUCUUCGCCUGGCUAUCCUACGAGAUUUGUUGGAGAUAAGGACUUGGUUCCCUGAUACCGUCGUUUUUUGGUCCCAAAUGUUGCAGAGGAUGCAAUGGCGGGGUGAUAUUCCUCCUCUGGCUGGGGAAAGAGCUAGGAAGAGGGUUAACAGCGCAGCAUCCAAACGGGUGUACGAAAUCGGGGGGAGUUUGAUUCGUCAUCCCGCAAUUAAUGUUAGAGCCCCGCUUUUAUAUCGGGAUGAUG